This is a long non-coding RNA of Dreissena polymorpha, 923 nucleotides long. RefSeq lists it as uncharacterized. Lineage: Eukaryota; Metazoa; Mollusca; Bivalvia; Myida; Dreissenidae. The transcript is spliced from 3 exons. The record is from RefSeq and is a predicted model, not a curated record.
CAAUGUCAAGGUCACAUGGAUUCGUCUGCAAGCGAGACAAGUAGAAAAUGAAUUUUAAUGAAUGUUUUGAUGAUUUGGGUGCUAAAAUAGAUGAGAGAUGUCAAUAUUUUGGUCCAAAUGGAUGUUUUAGGUAGUUUUGGACUGUUCCGGAUGGGUGGGGGACCUGGUAUGGACAAGUAAGGGUAACAUUUCCAACAAAUCUUAAAUGUAAAUAUUAUUAUGUCCCUAGAUUGAAGUUUCAGGUGGAGAGCAAGAUGAAAAAUAUGCCAAAUUACAUGCAUGCAGCCCAUUUAUGCCAUUUUUCUCUUUGUUUGUAGGCCUGACCGUUUGUCCUUGAGCCGUCGAUGGUCAACAAUCCGCUAGCUGUUUUGCUCUGACUGGUGCACUGGACAUGAUUUCAAUAGUUAGCCAGACCAUGAUUGAGCUUAAGGAUUGUGCUGCGGAUGCAGCCUGUGCAGUUCCGGGAGAAAGUCACUGUCUUGGGCAAUGCGGUCUGGUAUCAGGUCUGGAUGAUCCUUGCCUGACUGCGGGUUUGUGUACACCUCAAUCCGACUCUGUGUCCUGAACAGAGGCCGCAGUGGUGCAGCGCUUGUGGACGUUCCAUCAACAUCCUGAAAGGUCAACACUACACCCAGCUGGAAAAUUGAUCCUGAUAGUCAUCCCCAGGUAGUGGAAUGAAUGUACACUGAACUACAGAGGAAUCACACCCAAAUGACUUUCCUGCCACGACAUUAGUGUGGCCACUCGCGUAGGAAUUCCUUAGCAAACGUGCUCUUUUGCAUGGUGACUGUGGGCAUUUUUGCAAAACUUACGCUUUCAACACUGGAUUUUAAAGAGAAUACUUAAUAAAAUGUCGCUAACAGGACUUAUUUAUAUGAGAGAGACUAUCUGGAUGCGCAUUAAGUGUCACUUUGUGUCGUAAG